CCUACGGGAGGCAGCAGUGAGGAAUAUUGGUCACUGGACGAGAGUCUGAACCAGCCAAGUAGCGUGAAGGAUGACUGCCCUAUGGGUUGUAAACUUCUUUUAUAUGGGAAUAAAAUGUUCCACGUGUGGGAUUUUGUAUGUACCAUAUGAAUAAGGAUCGGCUAACUCCGUGCCAGCAGCCGCGGUAAUACGGAGGAUCCGAGCGUUAUCCGGAUUUAUUGGGUUUAAAGGGAGCGUAGGUGGAUUGUUAAGUCAGUUGUGAAAGUUUGCGGCUCAACCGUAAAAUUGCAGUUGAAACUGGCAGUCUUGAGGACAGUAGAGGUGGGCGGAAUUCGUGGUGUAGCGGUGAAAUGCUUAGAUAUCACGAAGAACUCCGAUUGCGAAGGCAGUUCACUGGACUGCAACUGACACUGAGGCUCGAAAGUGUGGGUAUCAAACAGGAUUAGAUACCCUUGUAGUC
Molecule: ribosomal RNA, 460 nt
Filed under: uncultured bacterium
Lineage: Bacteria
Description: partial 16S ribosomal RNA
Rfam family: Bacterial small subunit ribosomal RNA
Source: RNAcentral